GUGUCAGCAGCCGCGGUAACACGGGGGGAGCAAGCGUUGUUCGGAAUCACUGGGCGUAAAGGGCGUGUAGGCGGUCAGGUAAGUGGAAUGUGAAAGCCCCCGGCUCACCCGGGGAUCUGCAUCCCAAACUGCCUGGCUUGAGUACGGGAGAGGAUAGGGGAAUUCCUGGUGUAGCGGUGAAAUGCGUAGAUAUCAGGAGGAACACCGGUGGCGAAGGCGCCUAUCUGGCCCGAUACUGACGCUGAGGCGCGAAAGCUAGGGGAGCAAACGGGAUUAGAAACCCUCGUAGUCC
Molecule: ribosomal RNA, 292 nt
Filed under: uncultured bacterium
Lineage: Bacteria
Description: partial 16S ribosomal RNA
Rfam family: Bacterial small subunit ribosomal RNA
Source: RNAcentral